GGAUCCAGACUUUGAUUAUGGCUCAGGAUAAACGCUGGCGGCGCACAUAAGACAUGCAAGUCGAACGGAAGUCGUUAUAAAAGGAGAGAAGAUUUGUCGGAUUGAAUUUUAUAACAAUGGCUUUAGUGGCGGACUGGUGAGUAACGCGUAAGGAACCUACCUAUUAGAGGGGAACAACAAUGAGAAAUCAUUGCUAAUACCGCAUAUGCCAUAACUACCGCAUGGUAGAAGUGGGAAAGGAGUAAUCCACUGAUAGAUGGCCUUGCGUCUGAUUAGUUAGUUGGUGGGGUAACGGCCUACCAAGACGACGAUCAGUAGCCGGACUGAGAGGUUGAACGGCCACAUUGGGACUGAGAUACGGCCCAGACUCCUACGGGAGGCAGCAGUCGGGAAUAUUGCGCAAUGGAGGAAACUCUGACGCGGUGACGCCGCGUGCAGGAAGAAGGUUUUCGGAUUGUAAACUGCUUUAGACAGGGAAGAGAAAGGACAGUACCUGUAGAAUAAGCUCCGGCUAACUACGUGCCAGCAGCCGCGGUAAUACGUAGGGAGCGAGCGUUAUCCGGAUUUAUUGGGUGUAAAGGGUGCGUAGACGGGAAUACAAGUUAGUUGUGAAAUACCUCGGCUUAACUGAGGAACUGCAACUAAAACUAUAUUUCUUGAGUACAGGAGAGGUAAGUGGAAUUCCUAGUGUAGCGGUGAAAUGCGUAGAUAUUAGGAGGAACACCAGUGGCGAAGGCGACUUACUGGACUGAAACUGACGUUGAGGCACGAAAGUGUGGGGAGCAAACAGGAUUAGAUACCCUGGUAGUCCACACCGUAAACGAUGGAUACUAGGUGUAGGAGAUAUUAAGUCUUCUGUGCCGUCGCAAACGCAGUAAGUAUCCCACCUGGGGAGUACGGCCGCAAGGUUGCAACU
Molecule: ribosomal RNA, 916 nt
Filed under: uncultured Bacillota bacterium
Lineage: Bacteria; Bacillati; Bacillota
Description: bacterial SSU rRNA
Rfam family: Bacterial small subunit ribosomal RNA
Source: RNAcentral